AAUAGAUACCCAGGUAGUCCACGCCGUAAACGAUGAGUGCUAAGUGUUAGAGGGUUUCCGCCCUUUAGUGCUGCAGCUAACGCAUUAAGCACUCCGCCUGGGGAGUACGGUCGCAAGACUGAAACUCAAAGGAAUUGACGGGGGCCCGCACAAGCGGUGGAGCAUGUGGUUUAAUUCGAAGCAACGCGAAGAACCUUACCAGGUCUUGACAUCCUCUGACAACUCUAGAGAUAGAGCGUUCCCCUUCGGGGGACAGAGUGACAGGUGGUGCAUGGUUGUCGUCAGCUCGUGUCGUGAGAUGUUGGGUUAAGUCCCGCAACGAGCGCAACCCUUGAUCUUAGUUGCCAGCAUUUAGUUGGGCACUCUAAGGUGACUGCCGGUGACAAACCGGAGGAAGGUGGGGAUGACGUCAAAUCAUCAUGCCCCUUAUGACCUGGGCUACACACGUGCUACAAUGGAUGGUACAAAGGGCUGCAAGACCGCGAGGUCAAGCCAAUCCCAUAAAACCAUUCUCAGUUCGGAUUGUAGG
RNAcentral lists this ribosomal RNA (529 nucleotides) under uncultured bacterium. RNAcentral's name for it is "bacterial SSU rRNA". It matches the Rfam family "Bacterial small subunit ribosomal RNA", at positions 777 to 1304 of the family's 1533-position model. The record is from RNAcentral.